Molecule: transfer RNA, 76 nt
Filed under: Glycomyces albidus
Lineage: Bacteria; Bacillati; Actinomycetota; Actinomycetes; Glycomycetales; Glycomycetaceae
Description: Glycomyces sp. NEAU-7082 tRNA-Leu
Rfam family: tRNA
About the family: Transfer RNA (tRNA) molecules are approximately 80 nucleotides in length. Their secondary structure includes four short double-helical elements and three loops (D, anti-codon, and T loops). Further hydrogen bonds mediate the characteristic L-shaped molecular structure. tRNAs have two regions of fundamental functional importance: the anti-codon, which is responsible for specific mRNA codon recognition, and the 3' end, to which the tRNAs corresponding amino acid is attached (by aminoacyl-tRNA synthetases). tRNAs cope with the degeneracy of the genetic code in two manners: having more than one tRNA (with a specific anti-codon) for a particular amino acid; and 'wobble' base-pairing, i.e. permitting non-standard base-pairing at the 3rd anti-codon position.
Source: RNAcentral
GCCCUACUACUCCACUGGCAGAGAGAGCGGACUCAAAACCCGCACAGUCUGGGUUCGAAUCCCAGGUAGGGCACCA